GAUCAUGGCUCAGGAUGAACGCUAGCUACAGGCUUAACACAUGCAAGUCGAGGGGUAGCACGGAGGAAGCUUGCUUCCUUGGGUGACGACCGGCGCACGGGUGAGUAACGCGUAUCCGACCUACCCAUUACUCGGGCACAGCCGCUCGAAAGAGUGAUUGAUUCCCGAUAUGUCCUUGGAGUAGAUUCAAUGAUGAAAGAUUUAUCGGUAAUGGAUGGGGAUGCGUAAGAUUAGGUAGUAGGCGGGGUAACGGCCCACCUAGCCGACGAUCUUUAGGGGUUCUGAGAGGAAGGUCCCCCACACUGGUACUGAGACACGGACCAGACUCCUACGGGAGGCAGCAGUGAGGAAUAUUGGUCAAUGGGCGGAAGCCUGAACCAGCCAAGUAGCGUGAAGGAUUACAGCCCUACGGGUUUUAAACUUCUUUUAUAUAAGAGUAAUGUGCACUACGUGUAGUGUAUUGCAAGUAUUAUAUGAAUAAGCAUCGGCUAACUCCGUG
This 499-nucleotide ribosomal RNA is filed under the name uncultured bacterium. Its description in RNAcentral is "bacterial SSU rRNA". It matches the Rfam family "Bacterial small subunit ribosomal RNA", at positions 15 to 507 of the family's 1533-position model. The record is from RNAcentral.